GAUGAACGCUAGCGACAGGCUUAACACAUGCAAGUCGAGGGGCAGCAUAAAAGUAGCAAUACUUUGGUGGCGACCGGCGCACGGGUGAGUAACGCGUAUGCAACCUACCUAUCAGAGGGGGAUAACCCGGCGAAAGUCGGACUAAUACCGCAUAAAACAGGGGCACCGCAUGGUGAUAUUUGUUAAAAAUUUAUUGCUGAUAGAUGGGCAUGCGUUCCAUUAGGUAGUUGGAGAGGUAACGGCUCACCAAGCCCACGAUGGAUAGGGGAACUGAGAGGUUGGUCCCCCACACUGGUACUGAGACACGGACCAGACUCCUACGGGAGGCAGCAGUGAGGAAUAUUGGUCAAUGGGCGAGAGCCUGAACCAGCCAAGUCGCGUGAAGGAAGAAGGAUCUAUGGUUCGUAAACUUCUUUUGCAGGGGAAUAAAGUGCAGGACGUGUCCUGUUUUGUAUGUACCCUGAGAAUAAGGAUCGGCUAACUCCGUGCCAGCAGCCGCGGU
Molecule: ribosomal RNA, 502 nt
Filed under: uncultured bacterium
Lineage: Bacteria
Description: bacterial SSU rRNA
Rfam family: Bacterial small subunit ribosomal RNA
Source: RNAcentral